GAUGAACGCUGGCGGCGUGCUUAACACAUGCAAGUCGAACGGAAAGGCUCCUGCUUGCAGGGGUACUCGAGUGGCGAACGGGUGAGUAACACGUGGGUGAUCUGCCCUGCACUUCGGGAUAAGCCUGGGAAACUGGGUCUAAUACCGGAUAGGACCACAUUUUGGAUGGUGUGGUGGAAAGUUUUUCGGUGUGGGAUGAGCUCGCGGCCUAUCAGCUUGUUGGUGGGGUAAUGGCCUACCAAGGCGUCGACGGGUAGCCGGCCUGAGAGGGUGUACGGCCACAUUGGGACUGAGAUACGGCCCAGACUCCUACGGGAGGCAGCAGUGGGGAAUAUUGCACAAUGGGCGCAAGCCUGAUGCAGCGACGCCGCGUGGGGGAUGACGGCCUUCGGGUUGUAAACUCCUUUCGCUAGGGACGAAGCGCAAGUGACGGUACCUGGAGAAGAAGCACAGGCUAACUACGUG
Molecule: ribosomal RNA, 465 nt
Filed under: uncultured bacterium
Lineage: Bacteria
Description: partial 16S ribosomal RNA
Rfam family: Bacterial small subunit ribosomal RNA
Source: RNAcentral